RNAcentral lists this long non-coding RNA (1100 nucleotides) under Parus major (Great Tit). RNAcentral describes it as "lncRNA (ENSPMJG00000011825.1)". Lineage: Eukaryota; Metazoa; Chordata; Aves; Passeriformes; Paridae. The record is from RNAcentral.
AGCAGAGCCCUGCACGGGGGCUGUGUCCAAGGGCCUGCAGAGACAGCAGCGGGGCAAUGGCUCCCCAGUGCCACAGGGCAGGCUGAGAUGGGCUCUGGGGAAGGAAGUCUUGGCUCUCAGGGCCGUGGGGCUCUGGCACAGGAUGCUCAGAGAAGCUGUGGCUGCCCCGUCCCUGCCAGCGCUCCAGCCCAGGCUGGAUGAGCCUUGGAGGAACCUGGCCUGGCCUGAGGUGUGCCAGCCCAUGGCAGAGGGGUAGAACUGGAGCAGCUUGGAGGCCACUCUGGACACUCACAGACACCGUGUUUGUUCAACACCACCUUCACUGGAGCUUUGUGAUGACUCCCAGAGGGAGCAGAAGACCCCGAGAAGGGAGUCAGUGUCAUUUUGAAAAAACAAUCAGGCUCCUCCAAAAUCCUGCCCAGCUUACCUGCACCUUCCUGCUCACAGUCCGAGUCAUUCGAAUCAGCCUGGCCAUUCUCUUCUUUAGCAUUCUCAUGGUCCUCCACAUUUCCCUCAAGUCUCUGACUGUCCUCCGUAACCGAAGUCUUCUCGCCUCGAUUUCUCUCCUGCGCCUUCUCGCCUCUGCCUCGGCUCUGCGGGCCACUGCUCUCAGCCUCACGGCUGCUCUUCUGCGUCUCACCCACAGCCCUAAAGGCAGAAGCAGAAGUUCAGCAGCAGCCCAGAAGGGUCCUUGCUGCAAGGCCGCCGUGAGCAGGGGUCCCCAGCCAGGCUCAGGGGGCUCUGGGGUAGCCUGCUCCAGGUCCUCUGCGCUCAGCUUCGCAUCCUCAUCCAAACUGUUCUGUACGGGCUGGGGGAACAGGAGGAGGAGCAGCGUAACCAGGCCAAGGACUGAUCUGCGCUCCAUGGUCUGCAGGAGGACACUGACAGGCGUGUCAGUGGGGUGAGCCAGGGAGCUUGUGGGGGCUGAAGUGAGGCCCAGAGGCGCAGGGAUGUGAGGGCAGGAAGCAGAGGGCUGUCCCAGACAGCUGGCAGGCAGCAAGGCCUGUCCCAGUGGGCCAGCAGCAGCAGCCCCGUGCCCUUCCCAAGGCGCUGGCACCAGGAGCUGGCCCUGGAUGCAGGGGGACAACGCAGACCCAGGU